UACAGAGGUCUCAAGCGUUGUUCGGAUUCAUUGGGCGUAAAGGGUGCGUAGGCGGCGCGGUAAGUCGGGUGUGAAAUCUCGGAGCUUAACUCCGAAACUGCAUUCGAUACUGUGGUGCUUGAGGACUGGAGAGGAGACUGGAAUUCAUGGUGUAGCAGUGAAAUGCGUAGAGAUCAUGAGGAAGACCAGUGGCGAAGGCGGGUCUCUGGACAGUUCCUGACACUGAGACACGAAGGCCAGGGGAGCAAACGGG
This 253-nucleotide ribosomal RNA is filed under the name uncultured bacterium. Its description in RNAcentral is "partial 16S ribosomal RNA". It matches the Rfam family "Bacterial small subunit ribosomal RNA", at positions 524 to 776 of the family's 1533-position model. The record is from RNAcentral.